AGAGUUUGAUCCUGGCUCAGAACGAACGCUGGCGGCAGGCCUAACACAUGCAAGUCGAGCGCGCCUUUCGGGGUGAGCGGCGGACGGGUUAGUAACGCGUGGGAAUAUGCCCAAAGGUACGGAAUAGCCUCUGGAAACGGAGAGUAAUACCGUAUGUGCCCUUCGGGGGAAAGAUUUAUCGCCUUUGGAUUAGCCCGCGUUAGAUUAGGUAGUUGGUGGGGUAAUGGCCUACCAAGCCUACGAUCUAUAGCUGGUUUUAGAGGAUGAUCAGCAACACUGGGACUGAGACACGGCCCAGACUCCUACGGGAGGCAGCAGUGGGGAAUCUUGGACAAUGGGGGCAACCCUGAUCCAGCCAUGCCGCGUGAGUGAUGAAGGCCCUGGGGUCGUAAAGCUCUUUCGCCUGUGAAGAUAAUGACGGUAGCAGGUAAAGAAACCCCGGCUAACUCCGUGCCAGCAGCCGCGGUAAUACGGAGGGGGUUAGCGUUGUUCGGAAUUACUGGGCGUAAAGCGCACGUAGGCGGAUCGGAAAGUUGGGGGUGAAAUCCCGGGGCUCAACCCCGGAACUGCCUCCAAAACUAUCGGUCUAG
RNAcentral lists this ribosomal RNA (590 nucleotides) under uncultured Alphaproteobacteria bacterium. RNAcentral's name for it is "bacterial SSU rRNA". It matches the Rfam family "Bacterial small subunit ribosomal RNA", at positions 8 to 644 of the family's 1533-position model. Lineage: Bacteria; Pseudomonadati; Pseudomonadota; Alphaproteobacteria. The record is from RNAcentral.